UACGGAGGGUGCAAGCGUUAUCCGGAUUCACUGGGUUUAAAGGGUGCGUAGGUGGGUUUGUAAGUCAGUGGUGAAAUCUCCAAGCUUAACUUGGAAACUGCCAUUGAUACUGCAGAACUAGAGUACAGAUGACGUUGGCGGAAUGUGUCAUGUAGCGGUGAAAUGCAUAGAUAUGACACAGAACACCGAUUGCGAAGGCAGCUGACGAAACUGCAACUGACGCUGAUGCACGAAAGUGCGGGGAUCAAACAGG
This 253-nucleotide ribosomal RNA is filed under the name uncultured bacterium. RNAcentral describes it as "partial 16S ribosomal RNA". It matches the Rfam family "Bacterial small subunit ribosomal RNA", at positions 524 to 776 of the family's 1533-position model. The record is from RNAcentral.